AUACGGAGGGUGCAAGCGUUAAUCGGAAUUACUGGGCGUAAAGCGCGCGUAGGCGGCUUGAUAAGUCGGAUGUGAAAUCCCCGGGCUUAACCUGGGAAUUGCAUUCGAUACUGUCAGGCUAGAGUGUGGUAGAGGGAAGUGGAAUUUCCGGUGUAGCGGUGAAAUGCGUAGAUAUCGGAAAGAACAUCAGUGGCGAAGGCGGCUUCCUGGAUCAACACUGACGCUGAGGUGCGAAAGCGUGGGGAGCAAACAGGAUUAGAAACCCCAGCAGUCC
RNAcentral lists this ribosomal RNA (274 nucleotides) under uncultured bacterium. RNAcentral's name for it is "partial 16S ribosomal RNA". It matches the Rfam family "Bacterial small subunit ribosomal RNA", at positions 523 to 796 of the family's 1533-position model. The record is from RNAcentral.